Molecule: long non-coding RNA, 1118 nt
Filed under: Triticum aestivum (bread wheat)
Lineage: Eukaryota; Viridiplantae; Streptophyta; Magnoliopsida; Poales; Poaceae
Description: long non-coding RNA (TAES_LNC025352)
Source: RNAcentral
ACAUGCAAAAACAUAUAAUAAUGAAGGUGUAUAAAACAUAGCUGUUUUUGGCAAAAAGAAUCAAUUCUUUCUAGUGCCUUAAUUCUGGGGCUACACAUUUGCAGCUCUUACAACUUAUCUGCGAUAAUCUGUCAAAGUACUGCAUGCAUCAAACAUUUGCUAGGAUAGCUGAAAGCUGAAACUAUCCGGCACAAGGACCAUCUAAUUUUCCAAGGCUGUUAGUCACUAUGUGUGAACAAGGCCCUCAAAACUCUACCCGAGCAAACACGACGUUCCAUCUCCGAAUAGAAAGUGAGGCACCCAGCAAAAACUCCCUUUGCAGAGACAACGCCACAUCCUUAAGUUAGUUCUACACCCUUCAUCAGCAUGAAGAAAGAACGUAUGAAAGCAGAAAUUAACAGCAGUCACAAGCAAUAAUCAACGGCAAGCAACACCAGGUAAAGACAUGAAACGACACAAUGCAUGGAACACACACAGUUAGAACCGGGUAAAUAACUGAAUCUGAAAUGAGUAUAAGAAAAGAAAAUGCUUAGGAGGAGAUGAAACCUUGGCACGACGAAAGAGAGCAGCCGAGGCGUCGAGCGAGCUGAACUGCAGCUGAAUCUUCACAAAACUGGAGUGAGGAGGCGAGCUGACCGGGAUGGAAAACAGAUGGAGGCAGAAACAACUGGCUGCUCAACAAAAUGAUGGCAGCGGUUAAAUGCAAGAAAAAGAAUAGGGUCCUGAACACAUGCCUUCUUAAAUUCGAUCAAGGUUUUAUCGGUACAGAGUAAUGAAGCUUGUCAACAUAAUUUGUUUUAUUCUAAUAUAUGAGAAGCAUGAUACAAGCGCAUGCAUAGAUUAAGAAAAACAUCAAUGACACACACUAGUGAGAGGCAAACGUGCCGAGAGAUUGCUGACUAUUAGAUCAUAAUCUAUUUACAACAUGUAAAAUUAGCAUUUUACCUUAUAAAAUUCAGGCUAACCAACUUACCAAGCUAGGAAAGCAAAAGGCAUACAAUGCAUAUAAUCUAUGGAAUACCGAGGCAAGCAAUAGGAUGAACCUGUCUUUGGUGAGGUCUGAAUCUAUACCUAUUUACAGUGUUACUGCACCGAGUCCGUAAAUCUCGCAAACUUGG